AGUGAACGCUGGCGGUAGGCCUAACACAUGCAAGUCGAACGGCAGCACAGUAAGAGCUUGCUCUUACGGGUGGCGAGUGGCGGACGGGUGAGGAAUACAUCGGAAUCUACUUUUUCGUGGGGGAUAACGUAGGGAAACUUACGCUAAUACCGCAUACGACCUACGGGUGAAAGCAGGGGAUCUUCGGACCCUGCGCGAUUGAAUGAGCCGAUGUCGGAUUAGCUAGUUGGCGGGGUAAAGGCCCACCAAGGCGACGAUCCGUAGCUGGUCUGAGAGGAUGAUCAGCCACACUGGAACUGAGACACGGUCCAGACUCCUACGGGAGGCAGCAGUGGGGAAUAUUGGACAAUGGGCGCAAGCCUGAUCCAGCCAUACCGCGUGGGUGAAGAAGGCCUUCGGGUUGUAAAGCCCCUUUGUUGGGAAAGAAAAGCAGCAGGUUAAUACCCCGCUGUUCUGACGGUACCCAAAGAAUAAGCACCGGCUAACUUCGUG
RNAcentral lists this ribosomal RNA (492 nucleotides) under uncultured bacterium. Its description in RNAcentral is "partial 16S ribosomal RNA". It matches the Rfam family "Bacterial small subunit ribosomal RNA", at positions 29 to 507 of the family's 1533-position model. The record is from RNAcentral.